This 253-nucleotide ribosomal RNA is filed under the name uncultured bacterium. RNAcentral describes it as "partial 16S ribosomal RNA". It matches the Rfam family "Bacterial small subunit ribosomal RNA", at positions 524 to 776 of the family's 1533-position model. The record is from RNAcentral.
UACGUAGGGUGCAAGCGUUGUCCGGAAUUAUUGGGCGUAAAGAGCUCGUAGGCGGUCUGUUGCGUCCGCUGUGAAAACUUGGGGCUUAACCCCGAGCCUGCAGUGGAUACGGGCAGACUAGAGGUAGGUAGGGGAGAAUGGAAUUCCCGGUGUAGCGGUGAAAUGCGCAGAUAUCGGGAGGAACACCGGUGGCGAAGGCGGUUCUCUGGGCCUUACCUGACGCUGAGGAGCGAAAGCGUGGGGAGCGAACAGG